GACGGAGGGUGCAAGCGUUGUUCGGAAUUACUGGGCGUAAAGCGUAUGUAGGCGGUUAGUUAAGUCAAAUGUUAAAGACCAAGGCUCAACCUCGGGAAUGCAUUUGAUACUGGCUAACUAGAGGGUGUUAGAGGAAGGCGGAAUUCCCAGUGUAGCGGUGAAAUGCGUAGAUAUUGGGAGGAACAUCGGUGGCGAAAGCGGCCUUCUGGGACAUACCUGACGCUGAGGUACGAAAGCGUGGGGAGCAAACGGG
This 253-nucleotide ribosomal RNA is filed under the name uncultured bacterium. RNAcentral describes it as "partial 16S ribosomal RNA". It matches the Rfam family "Bacterial small subunit ribosomal RNA", at positions 524 to 776 of the family's 1533-position model. The record is from RNAcentral.